This 460-nucleotide ribosomal RNA is filed under the name uncultured bacterium. RNAcentral describes it as "partial 16S ribosomal RNA". It matches the Rfam family "Bacterial small subunit ribosomal RNA", at positions 338 to 795 of the family's 1533-position model. The record is from RNAcentral.
CCUACGGGAGGCAGCAGUGAGGAAUAUUGGUCAAUGGCCGGAAGGCUGAACCAGCCAUGCCGCGUGAAGGUCAGUGCCCUAUGGGCGUUAAACUUCUUUUGUGCGGGAGCAAUACUGGUCACGUGUGGCCAGACGAGAGUACCGUACGAAUAAGCAUCGGCUAACUCCGUGCCAGCAGCCGCGGUAAUACGGGGGAUGCAAGCGUUAUCCGGAUUUAUUGGGUUUAAAGGGUGCGUAGGCUGUGAGGUAAGUCAGCGGGGAAAUGCCCCCGCUCAACGGGGUGAAGUGCCAUUGAUACUGCCUUGCUGGAAUGCGGAUGCCGUGGGAGGAAUGUGUGGUGGAGCGGUGAAAUGCAUAGAUAUCACACAGAACACCGAUUGCGAAGGCAUCUCACGAAGCCGCGAUUGACGCUGAUGCACGAAAGCGUGGGUAUCAAACAGGAUUAGAUACCCGGGUAGUC